Molecule: ribosomal RNA, 990 nt
Filed under: Staphylococcus aureus
Lineage: Bacteria; Bacillati; Bacillota; Bacilli; Caryophanales; Staphylococcaceae
Also listed under: 1 other name
Description: bacterial SSU rRNA
Rfam family: Bacterial small subunit ribosomal RNA
Source: RNAcentral
AGAGUUUGAUCCUGGCUCAGGAUGAACGCUGGCGGCGUGCCUAAUACAUGCAAGUCGAGCGAACGGACGAGAAGCUUGCUUCUCUGAUGUUAGCGGCGGACGGGUGAGUAACACGUGGAUAACCUACCUAUAAGACUGGGAUAACUUCGGGAAACCGGAGCUAAUACCGGAUAAUAUUUUGAACCGCAUGGUUCAAAAGUGAAAGACGGUCUUGCUGUCACUUAUAGAUGGAUCCGCGCUGCAUUAGCUAGUUGGUAAGGUAACGGCUUACCAAGGCAACGAUGCAUAGCCGACCUGAGAGGGUGAUCGGCCACACUGGAACUGAGACACGGUCCAGACUCCUACGGGAGGCAGCAGUAGGGAAUCUUCCGCAAUGGGCGAAAGCCUGACGGAGCAACGCCGCGUGAGUGAUGAAGGUCUUCGGAUCGUAAAACUCUGUUAUUAGGGAAGAACAUAUGUGUAAGUAACUGUGCACAUCUUGACGGUACCUAAUCAGAAAGCCACGGCUAACUACGUGCCAGCAGCCGCGGUAAUACGUAGGUGGCAAGCGUUAUCCGGAAUUAUUGGGCGUAAAGCGCGCGUAGGCGGUUUUUUAAGUCUGAUGUGAAAGCCCACGGCUCAACCGUGGAGGGUCAUUGGAAACUGGAAAACUUGAGUGCAGAAGAGGAAAGUGGAAUUCCAUGUGUAGCGGUGAAAUGCGCAGAGAUAUGGAGGAACACCAGUGGCGAAGGCGACUUUCUGGUCUGUAACUGACGCUGAUGUGCGAAAGCGUGGGGAUCAAACAGGAUUAGAUACCCUGGUAGUCCACGCCGUAAACGAUGAGUGCUAAGUGUUAGGGGGUUUCCGCCCCUUAGUGCUGCAGCUAACGCAUUAAGCACUCCGCCUGGGGAGUACGACCGCAAGGUUGAAACUCAAAGGAAUUGACGGGGACCCGCACAAGCGGUGGAGCAUGUGGUUUAAUUCGAAGCAACGCGAAGAACCUUACCAAAU